UGUGUUCCUGAACGCCUCAUUAGAAUCAUGUCUCAACUUGAUUUCCAAUGUUUGACGCAUUGACGACAAGACUGCGAGGACACUGGGAAGAAACUGGUAAGAGAUAUUUAACAUUUUUACUCUAACUCUACUCUUUACUUUUAAUAUGUUCCGUUUUUAAAAUGUCUUUUCAUUUUGCUUGACAGACGAUGAAUAGAACGCAUGGCGAACCAGAGGAGGGGGCAAGUCUGGGGGCGACAGGAUAUGAUGCAGACACAGACGACACACAUGAUGAGAAGGACAUUUUGGAUGGGGAACCAGCUGCAUCUCAAGAAGCUGCGUCUCCACAACCGUCAGACGAGCUGGGAGUAGCUGAUGAUGAAACAGAACCAGCUGCAUCUCAAGAAGCUGCAUCUCCACAACCGUCAGACGAGCUGGGAGGGAUGAUGAUGAAAC
Molecule: long non-coding RNA, 435 nt
Filed under: Cottoperca gobio
Lineage: Eukaryota; Metazoa; Chordata; Actinopteri; Perciformes; Bovichtidae
Description: lncRNA (ENSCGOG00000003480.1)
Source: RNAcentral